AAUCUGGCGUCCUCCGGGCGUCCGAGUUGUAAUCUACAGAAGCGUUUUCCGCGCCGGUCCGCGUCCAAGUCCCUUGGAACAGGGUAUCAAAGAGGGUGACAAUCCCGUACUUGACGCGACCGCCGGUGCUAUGUGAUACGUCUUCGACGAGUCGAGUUGUUUGGGAAUGCAGCUCAAAACGGGUGGUAAAUUCCAUCUAAGGCUAAAUAUUGGCGAGAGACCGAUAGCGAACAAGUACCGUGAGGGAAAGAUGAAAAGCACUUUGGAAAGAGAGUUAAACAGUACGUGAAAUUGUUGAAAGGGAAACGAUUGAAGUCAGUCGUGUCCGGGGGGUUCAGCCGGUUCUGCCGGUGUAUUCCCCUCGGACGGGUCAACAUCGGUUUUGACCGGCGGAAAAGGGCACGGGGAAUGUGGCACCUCCGGGUGUGUUAUAGCCCCGCGUCGCAUACGUCGGUCGAGACCGAGGAACGCAGCUCGCCUUCACGGCCGGGGUUCGCCCACGUACGAGCUUAGGAUGUUGACAAAAUGGCUUUAAACGACCCGUCUUGAAACACGGACCA
This 560-nucleotide ribosomal RNA is filed under the name Tremella sp. RNAcentral describes it as "partial large subunit ribosomal RNA". It matches the Rfam family "Eukaryotic large subunit ribosomal RNA", at positions 119 to 668 of the family's 3401-position model. The record is from RNAcentral. Lineage: Eukaryota; Fungi; Basidiomycota; Tremellomycetes; Tremellales; Tremellaceae.